AAUAAGAAAAGCAGAACUCGCACUUGAAAAAGGAGCUGAUUUUAUAAUGUAUGAGUAUUGGGGUAAAUUUACAGUAAAUUAAGGAAAAACUUAAGUUCAUUAAUAAGAAAUAUAGAAUUCACGCAAUGAUAAAAGCAGCGGGAUUGGAUUUUAGUACAUCUGACGUAAAUUAAGGAAAAAACUUAAUUAAAAAGAAAAAGCAGAAUUCACACAAUUUGAAAAAGUAGCUGAAUUUUAUAAAAGAGGAUUUCAAAAGUUAAGGAAAAACUUAAGUUCAUUAAUAAGAAAAUGCAGAAUUCACAUAACUAUAAAAGCAGCUGAAUUUUAUAAAGUAAAUGAGGAUUUCAUUAAUAAAUUUUAAGUAAAUUAAGGGCAAACUUAAGUUCAUUAAUAAGAAAAAGCAGAAUUGACACAAUAACCCAAUAAACCAGAGGUCGACUGUCAGUGGGUUUCAAAGGCUGAUGGAAGAAUUGUCCUAUUUAUCACAUGAUGAAGUGGCUAACAUUAGCUCUUAAUUACAUCUGAGUCAAAAUAAUAUCUUAAAUAAAUAAGUAACAAUAUCCAAAUCUGUCUGAACAUUAAACUAAGGUAAAAAAUCUAAGUGUGAGUGAAUUUUAACUGUCAUUUCUCAGUCAUUUCAGUUAAAAAAUAAUAAAAAGGAUCCUUUAGCUUGUACCGAUCCUAAGUAAAAUGUGCUUUCAUGAGCUCCUGGUCUCCAGCUGUGCUUUAAAACACUCAGACGAACCCUUUUACGGUUGAAUCAAACCCACUCUUCUGCUCCCUCAGUGUUGUCAGGUUCAGUAUUUAAUCAGUCUUCCAUUCGUCGGAGGUUGUGACGUCGUGACUCGCUCCCGUCCGGCAUUAAAGCGGCGGCGUUGGCGUUAGUUUGGGACGCCGGCGUGGUUCUGUCCACCCUCUCCUCCUCUGCUCCACGGACCUCGAGGUCGUCCGAAAAAAAAAAA
Sphaeramia orbicularis (orbiculate cardinalfish) is the source of this 962-nucleotide long non-coding RNA. RefSeq lists it as uncharacterized. NCBI's taxonomy places the organism in Eukaryota, Metazoa, Chordata, Actinopteri, Kurtiformes, Apogonidae. The record is from RefSeq and is a predicted model, not a curated record. The transcript has 2 exons.